AUGAUUUAUAGCAGUGUUGGGAUAUCGCUGAAAUAUAUGUUCUCAUCGACGACACGUAGAGUUAUGCUCAUAAAGAACUGGAUAUUGAGCUAUUUUACUCUUCCUGCACUAGCUGAUGCAUCAAUAGGCUCUACUUUGUUUCAAUUAAAAACAAUCCUGUGUGCCGAGGGCCCUUGGAAGAGGCAGAGGGCUUUGCAUCUUCGCUUAGCUUUCCCAUUGAGUCGUUGUGCAUUUUAUUCUGCGCAAGGUUUUCUUCUCUUAAUGUACAAAUUGUGCUACAUUUCUCGAGCAUCUGCAUCAGCAAAGAAUAUAUAUACGUACUAG
This 324-nucleotide ribosomal RNA is filed under the name Triticum aestivum (bread wheat). Its description in RNAcentral is "partial small subunit ribosomal RNA". The record is from RNAcentral. Lineage: Eukaryota; Viridiplantae; Streptophyta; Magnoliopsida; Poales; Poaceae.